UACGGAGGGUGCGAGCGUUGUCCGGAAUCAUUGGGCGUAAAGGGCGCGUAGGUGGCCCGGUCAGUCCGUGGUGAAAGCGCAGGGCUCAACCCCGCGUCGGCCAUGGAUACUGCUGGGCUGGAGCACUGUAGAGGCAGGCGGAAUUCCGGGUGUAGCGGUGGAAUGCGUAGAGAUCCGGAAGAACACCGGUGGCGAAGGCGGCCUGCUGGGCAGUUGCUGACACUGAGGAGCGAAAGCGUGGGGAGCAAACAGG
This 253-nucleotide ribosomal RNA is filed under the name uncultured bacterium. Its description in RNAcentral is "partial 16S ribosomal RNA". It matches the Rfam family "Bacterial small subunit ribosomal RNA", at positions 524 to 776 of the family's 1533-position model. The record is from RNAcentral.